UCGCAAUGCGGCAAGCGUGACGAGCGACGCGCGUGGGUGAUGAGCUUCGGAUGUAAACCUUGUAGCUACUAUGACCGCGGUGUAAUAGCCAUCCGCUGACGUAAGUAGCAGAGAGCACGCUAACUACGUGCCAGCAGCCGCGGUAAUACGUAGGGUGCAAACGUUGUUCGGAAUCACUGGGCAUAAAGGGCGCGUAGGCGGUCCAUUAAGUCUUUGUGAAAGCCCCCGGCUCACCCGGGGAAUUGCAGGGGAUACUGUUGGGCUUGAGUGCAGGAGGGGAGAGCGGAAUUCCUGGUGGAGCGGUGAAAUGCGUAGAUAUCAGGAGGAACGCCGGUGGCGAAAGCGGCUCUCUGGUCUGUUACUGACGCUGAGGCGCGAAAGCUAGGGGAGCAAACGGGAUUAGAUACCCCGGUAGUCCUAGCCCUAAACGAUGGGUACUAAGUAGAGGGGACUCCGAUGUUCUCUCUGCCGGAGCUAAUGUAUUAAGUACCCCGCCUGGGGAGUAUGGCCGCAAGGCUGAAACUCAAAGGAAUUGACGGGGGCCCGCACAAGCGGUGGAGCAUGUGGUUCAAUUCGAAGCAACGCGCAGAACCUUACCAGCCUUUGACAUCCCGGUCGCGAGCACCAGAGAUGGAGCUCUUCAGUUCGGCUGGACCGGAGACAGGUGCUGCAUGGCUGUCGUCAGCUCGUGUCGUGAGAUGUUGGGUUAAGUCCCGCAACGAGCGCAACCCUCGCCCUUAGUUGCCAUCAUUUAGUUGGGCACUCUAUUGAGACUGCCGUUGACAAAACGGAGGAAGGUGGGGAUGACGUCAAGUCCUCAUGGCCUUUAUGUCCAGGGCUACACACGUGCUACAAUGGCAGGUACAAACCGCAGCAAACUCGCAAGAGGGAGCCAAUCGGAAAAAGCCUGUCUCAGUUCGGAUUGCACUCUGCAACUCGAGUGCAUGAAGUUGGAAUCGCUAGUAAUCGCGGAUCAGCACGCCGCGGUGAAUACGUUCCCGGGCCUUGUACACACCGCCCGUC
This 1023-nucleotide ribosomal RNA is filed under the name uncultured bacterium. Its description in RNAcentral is "bacterial SSU rRNA". It matches the Rfam family "Bacterial small subunit ribosomal RNA", at positions 366 to 1398 of the family's 1533-position model. The record is from RNAcentral.